RNAcentral lists this long non-coding RNA (868 nucleotides) under Capra hircus (goat). RNAcentral's name for it is "lncRNA (ENSCHIG00000006340.1)". The record is from RNAcentral. Lineage: Eukaryota; Metazoa; Chordata; Mammalia; Artiodactyla; Bovidae.
UUGGUUUGUAAAGCACCAUCUCGUUUCAUGACUGUCUAUCAUAAGACUUAAACCAGAAACAGGUUUGGGGAGGGGAAGAUGGAAGGAAUCAAGCCAGAGGAAGAGCAGAAGAAUCAACAGAACUCUGAUUCUACUGAGGACAGAGACUGAGGAGAUUGAAGAAGAGAAACAGAUGGGGAGGAAGACCCUGGAGGAAGAAUUUCAUUAUGCCAUUCAAGAUGAAUUCCGAAUUCCCUAAUGUGUGGGGCAAGCAUCUUUUAAUUUCAUGGCUGCACUCAUCAUCUGCAGUGAUUUUGCAAGUAACAAUUAAAUACACAAGACAGCUUGGAGAAGGAGAAAACAAAUGGAGAUGUUGAAGCUUGUUAUACUCUAUCCAUGACUUGAACUAAAAUGGCAGCUCUGGCAGAGACUCAAAGAACAUUGACAGAAAUUAAAGACACCAUAAAGGAAAAGUCAACAAGACUUAAGGACUAAUUGGAUGUGAUUGAGUUGUGUGGUUCUUACUAUGUGUACGAUGCUGGCAUUAGAAGCAGCCCAAGCUUAGGAAAUUAAACUUCUACUGGUAAAAUCAGGCAAAUUGAGUGUGGAAAAAAAUGUUUUUAGGGGAUCUAAUACGAUUUCAAAACAAUAAUAGUAAGAUAUUCAGCUGAAAAUAUUCAGUCAGCAGGUGCACUGGACGGCAUAAGGUUUGGAAAACAUCUCUAAAAAUCUGCAGGAGUGAAUGAAAAUGCCAAAGACAAGAUGGAAAAGAUAAAAUGUGAAUAUUUUUUUCCCCUUCGUGGGCAACAGCGCCUUCAAAUAUUUUCAGUCUAUAAUUAUGUCCUCCUUACACUACCCCCCCCACCACCCACUCUGAGUCAAUGUUUGC